UACGUAGGCAGCGAGCGUUGUUCGGAGUUACUGGGCGUAAAGGGCGCGUAGGCGGUCAGCACAAGUCAGUUGUGAAAUCUCCGGGCUUAACCCGGAAAGGUCAACUGAUACUGUGCGACUAGAGUGCGGAAGGGGCAACUGGAAUUCUCGGUGUAGCGGUGAAAUGCGUAGAUAUCGAGAGGAACACCUGCGGCGAAGGCGGGUUGCUGGGCCGACACUGACGCUGAUGCGCGAAAGCCAGGGGAGCGAACGGG
Molecule: ribosomal RNA, 254 nt
Filed under: uncultured bacterium
Lineage: Bacteria
Description: partial 16S ribosomal RNA
Rfam family: Bacterial small subunit ribosomal RNA
Source: RNAcentral